GAUGAACGCUGGCGGCGUGCCUAACACAUGCAAGUCGAACGGAGUCGUUUUGGAAAUCUCUUCGGAGAUGGAAUUCUCGACUUAGUGGCGGACGGGUGAGUAACGCGUGAGCAAUCUGCCUUUAAGAGGGGGAUAACAGUCGGAAACGGCUGCUAAUACCGCAUAAAGCAUUAAAUUCGCAUGUUUUUGAUGCCCAAUGAGCAAUCCGCUUUUAGAUGAGCUCGCGUCUGAUUAGCUAGUUGGCGGGGUAACGGCCCACCAAGGCGACGAUCAGUAGCCGGACUGAGAGGUUGAACGGCCACAUUGGGACUGAGACACGGCCCAGACUCCUACGGGAGGCAGCAGUGGGGAAUAUUGCGCAAUGGGGGAAACCCUGACGCAGCAACGCCGCGUGAUUGAAGAAGGCCUUCGGGUUGUAAAGAUCUUUAAUCAGGGACGAAACAAAUGACGGUACCUGAAGAAUAAGCUCCGGCUAACUACGUG
This 483-nucleotide ribosomal RNA is filed under the name uncultured bacterium. RNAcentral describes it as "partial 16S ribosomal RNA". It matches the Rfam family "Bacterial small subunit ribosomal RNA", at positions 28 to 507 of the family's 1533-position model. The record is from RNAcentral.